This 274-nucleotide ribosomal RNA is filed under the name uncultured bacterium. Its description in RNAcentral is "partial 16S ribosomal RNA". It matches the Rfam family "Bacterial small subunit ribosomal RNA", at positions 523 to 796 of the family's 1533-position model. The record is from RNAcentral.
AUACGGAGGGGGCAAGCGUUGUUCGGAAUUAUUGGGCGUAAAGGGCACGUAGGCGGUCAAGCAAGUUGGUGGUGAAAGCCCUCGGCUCAACCGAGGAAUUGCCCCCAAAACUGCUUGACUUGAGUCCCGGAGAGGGUGGCGGAAUUCCCAGUGUAGCGGUGAAAUGCGUAGAUAUUGGGAGGAACACCAGUGGCGAAGGCGGUCACCUGGACGGGUACUGACGCUGAGGUGCGAAAGCGUGGGGAGCAAACAGGAUUAGAAACCCGAGUAGUCC